AGAGAGUUAGUUAAAGCAUAACAUAAGGUUGUCAGCCCUACAUUACUAAUCUAAAUUAGUACUUUCUA
Molecule: transfer RNA, 68 nt
Filed under: Koreoleptoxis globus ovalis
Lineage: Eukaryota; Metazoa; Mollusca; Gastropoda; Pleuroceridae
Description: tRNA-Asp
Source: RNAcentral